RNAcentral lists this ribosomal RNA (327 nucleotides) under uncultured eukaryote. RNAcentral's name for it is "partial 18S ribosomal RNA". It matches the Rfam family "Eukaryotic small subunit ribosomal RNA", at positions 1470 to 1796 of the family's 1831-position model. The record is from RNAcentral.
CCCUUAGACGUUCUGGGCCGCACGCGCGCUACACUGACCAGUGCAACAAGCAUCCGUCCUUGGCCGACAGGCCCGGGCAAUCUUUGAACGCUAGUCGUGAUGGGGAUAGACUUUUGCAAUUUUUGGUCUUCAACGAGGAAUUCCUAGUAAACGCAAGUCAUCAACUUGCAUUGAUUACGUCCCUGCCCUUUGUACACACCGCCCGUCGCUCCUACCGAUUGAGUGGUCCGGUGAGGCUUUGGGAUCUGAGCGGAAAGAGCGUUUCGCUGUUUCUGCCCGGAAAACUCAGUCGAACCUUAUCAUUUAGAGGAAGGAGAAGUCGUAACA